CGCCUGGGGAGUGCGGCCGCAAGGCUAAAACUCAAAUGAAUUGACGGGGACCCGCACAAGCGGUGGAGCAUGUGGUUUAAUUCGAUGCAACGCGAAAAACCUUACCUACCCUUGAAAUCCAGCGAAGUUUUCAGAGAUGAGAAUGUGCCUUCGGGAACGCUGUGACAGGUGUUGCAUGGCUGUCGUCAGCUCGUGUCGUGAGAUGUAUGGUUAAGUCCAGUAACGAGCGCAACCCCUAUCCUUAUUUGCCAGCGCGUUAAGCGGGAACUAUAGGGAGACUGCCGGGUGAAACCCGGAGGAAGGCGGGGACGAGGUCAAGUCAUCAUGGCCCUUAUGGGUAGGGCUACACACGUGCUACAAUGGGAAGUACAGAGGGAUGCGAAAGCGCGAGCUGGAGCUAAACCCUUAAAACUUUUCUUAGUCCGGAUUGGAGUCUGCAACUCGACUCCAUGAAGUCGGAAUCACUAGUAAUCGCGAAUCAGAAUGUCGCGAUGAAUACGUUCUCGGGCCUUGAACACACCGCCCGUC
This 528-nucleotide ribosomal RNA is filed under the name uncultured SAR86 cluster bacterium. RNAcentral describes it as "bacterial SSU rRNA". It matches the Rfam family "Bacterial small subunit ribosomal RNA", at positions 870 to 1398 of the family's 1533-position model. Lineage: Bacteria; Pseudomonadati; Pseudomonadota; Gammaproteobacteria. The record is from RNAcentral.